GUGGACUUAUUUGUUCUGUGUGGGCAACACAAGAUUGUAAACGUCAAUAGUAUCUGUUGGGUUGUGUCGCAAUGUGGACGUACGCAGGAGUAUUUCUCCUGGCGACAUGCGCCUGCGCUAUCACGCGAGACCAAUUCUACACUUACGGGUCUGGACUGGACCAGAGAUUGCCCAGAGGAAACCAAGUGUCGUCUCCAGAGAUACCCUUGAAAGUGCCCAUUGUUUUCUAUGGAGAAACAUACGAGACAGUUUUCGUAAACAACUUCGGUAUAAUUUCCUUCAGAGCUGAUAUUCCAUCGUUUCUAAAUGCAGAAUUCCCACUGCCAUAUCCGUCCAUAGCGGCAUUCUACACUAACGUAGACACUUCAGAAUCGGGCGCGGUAUAUUAUAGAGAAACAGAUGAAUCUCAUGUACUAUCCAAAGCGGAAGAAAGCGUACAAGACAAUUUCCACGACUAUUACGACUUCAAACCUACCAGCGUUUUCAUUGCCACUUGGCUCGAUGUUACUUUCAAGAGUACGGAUAUACAAAAACAGACGAACAGCUUCCAAAUAGCUGUGAUCAGCAAUGGUACGGAAAGUUUCGUGGAACUAUUGUACCCUGAUCGGGAAAUACAGUGGAUACAAAGAGAACCCGAAGAGUUGAGCCUGCCAGAUGCUAAAGCGCAAGUAGGUUUCGUUUCUGAAGAUGGACGCGUUUAUACAAUCAGAAAUUCUGGGAGUGAUCAAGUUCGCAAUGUAGUCGCAUGGUCAAACACCCAACAGCCUGGAAAAUACGUCUUUCGUGUUGGAAAUAUACCACUUGAGGGCGAAAUCGCAAUUCCAGAUCAAUACAACCAAACUGAUUUCGAUUUCGAGGAAGAAUCUAAAACUUGUGCUCAGAGUGGACCGAGCCUAUGUCACACGCGAGCCCGAUGUGUCGACUAUGAAGCCGGCAUCUGCUGUCAAUGCAAUGAAGGAUUUUAUGGUAAUGGAAAAUCAUGCGUUAAAGAUGACGUGCCCCUUAGAGUACAUGGGAAAUUGAACGGUCGCAUAAACGGUGUGAACCUGGAAGAUGUUGACAUACAGGCUUACGUAGUGGUCUCUGAUGGCAGAUCCUAUACUGCAUUGACCCAAGUACCACCAAUUAUUGGAAAUACUCUACUGUUCUUAACUGUUUUAGAUACUACGAUCGGUUGGCUAUUCGCUAAAACUAUCGGAGGCGCUAAAAAUGGUUACCAAUUGACAGGAUCAUUAUUUAAUCACACUGCUAAUAUUUAUUUCCCUGGAACAAAUAAUUUGGUUACAAUUAAUCAAGAAUACUUGGGUCAUGAUGUAUUUGAUCAGAUCACAAUCAGAGUAUUUGUUGAAGGAACGCUACCUCCUCUCUUAAACGAUACGAAACUGGAUAUAUCUGAAUUCCAAGAACAAUAUACGAUUGACGAACCUGGUCUCGUUCACUCGCAGUCGACUCGAAAAUUCAAAGAUAGACGUACAUCUCAGGAAUACGAGCAAACAGUGUCCCAAAGUUUUACAUACAGUCCUUGUCGUUUUGCGCCCUUUAGCCAGGAAGACAAAAAGCAGACCACACUGAUAAUCACGAAGAAUUAUCUGGGUUAUGAGAUCGCCGAAAAUAUAGUUAGAUACGGGACGAGUAAUAAAGUAACACCCAUAGGACUAGAAAAUCCAUGUACAGGGGGACAAAAUACUUGCGGUCCGCAUAGCACUUGUGUGGUACAAGACGACACGUUCACUUGUGAAUGUCAAUCAGGUUACUCAGACAUCUACAUCGAGGAUACCAUUGCGUGCAUUGAUAUUGAUGAAUGUGCUGCUGGAUCUCACAACUGUGACGUAAAUGCAGACUGUUUAAACGAGGAUGGAGGAUUUCAAUGUGAGUGCCGAAAUGGCUUCGAAGGCGACGGUUUCAGUUGUCAGGCGCCAUCGCCGUGCAAAGAUAAGAACUGUAAUGCUAAUGCUCAGUGUACAUUAAACUAUUUAGGAGAUCCUACAUGUGUUUGUAACGCUGGUUACACCGGUAACGGUAUACAGUGUUGGCCAGUGAUCCCAUGUAACAACGCGUGCUCCCCUGACGCUUCUUGUGUUAUAUCGGAAAACACGAGGAGUUAUGAAUGUAGAUGUCACGCAGGAUAUUCUGGCGACGGUUAUUAUUGCACUGAAGAUCAACGUACGACAACACCUACAAUAUAUACAGAGACUGAAUCACUUUACAAUGAGACUUUUGUGCUUCCUCACUGCGAUUCCAUCAGCUGCGUAUGCCCAACGGGUUACACAAGAUUCCGCGAGUUUAAUAACGAACUGUGUCGGAUUGACAGUUAUGUACCAGCUACAGAAAAAUCAGAUGGAUACGAUUCCUCACUUAGAUGCUCACAUGACGGCGACUGCCCUCCAAACGCGAUUUGUACUUCCCCCAGCAACGACUCAUCAGAAGAGUCACGACACUGUGUAUGCCCUGAAGGAUACGAGGGAGACGCUUACGAAUGUAUCGAGCGAACAGGAUACACGUGUAGAUGUGGACCGUACUCCCACUGUGUGGCCACGCCGAACGGACAGUACUUGUGUAUGUGUAACAGCGGCUACCGCGGUGAUGGUUACGAAUGCAGUCCAAUCUUCACCUGUACCAACGACUCCGACUGCGAAUACAAUGCAGGGUGCACCUUCGAUGUCAACAGUAAUGCAUACAUUUGUCAAUGCAUCGAGGGCUACGUUAAGGAUCAAAACGACGCUUGCAUACCCGGACAGUUAUGUAACGGAGCGCAAUGCGUGCAGUACGCAACGUGCCUGUACGAUGCGGAGAUCGAUGUCCAUUACUGCCAUUGUGACGACGGAUACGAUGGUGACGGUGUGACUCAAUGUUCACCAGCUCAAAGAUUCGAGACAUGCAAUGAACUCAACGAUUGCAGCAUUGACGCUAUAUGCACUCCAGUCGAAAGUACAUAUCAAUGCCAAUGCAGAGAAGGUUAUAUAGGAGAUGGAUAUACUUGCACCCUGGAGGAGAACUGUAGAACAAUUCCGAAUUGGUGCGACAGUCACGCGUCGUGUCUGAAGCGAGGAGAUGCAUACGAAUGCGUAUGCAACUCAGGAUACAAUGGAAAUGGAAGUGUUUGCCAACUGAACCCAAGACAAAAUGGCAACUUCUUAGUAGUGAGCGAUGGCGCCUCGGUAUAUCGCGUACCAUUCCAUACGAACACCAGACAAUAUCCGACCCCAAUAAAUAGUGCUAUCUACCAAACAGCGGUCGGAGUAGACGUAGACUGUGAAAGAGGAACCAUAUAUUGGGGUGAUGUUAUUGGCAACAGCAUAAAAAGUGCAGCCUACGAUGGUUCCGGAUUCAAUUAUUUCCUACCAAAUGAUGUUAAAGCACCCGAAGGUAUAUCAGUAGAUUGGACAGCGAGAAAUAUAUUUUGGACUGACUCAAAGAAAUAUACCAUUGAAGUUGCUAACAUUGAUACGAAGGUCAGAAAAGUGUUAUUCUCUGGGAACGGUAUCACUAAUCCUAGAGGUAUCGCCGUACACCCGGAGAAAGGCAAAGUGUUUUGGUCUGAUUGGAACCGCUUGGGCGCUAAAAUCGAGUGGGCAAACAUGGACGGUUCACAACGAGGCGUGUUCCUCGACCAGAGUGAUGUAAAACUGCCCAAUUCCUUGGCCAUCGACUGGUCGAGAGAUCGGUUGUGCUACGCUGAUGCCGGUCUUUCGGCUAUCAAGUGCGUGGGGAUCGAUACGUUGGAAAGAGUAACAAUUGCUACAAACUGCACGUAUCCCUUCGGACUGGCCAUAAGUGGAAAUAAAUUCUAUUGGACAGAUUGGAGAACUUUACAGAUAGAAUACAUAGACAUUACAACCCAAAUCAAGGGGCGGGUUGAAACAUCGAAGCCGACGAGGUUGUACGGCCUGGCGGUGGCUCCUGACGCCUGUCCACCAGGUUCCAACGUGUGCCAGUACAGGAACGGGCAGUGUCUGCCAAAUGAACUAUGCCUGCCUAAUGGACAAGGCAGCAGAACGUGUGUCACGGGAGAUGGGUUUUAUGAGGAGAAUCAAAUCAUUUAGACGUAAAUAUUUUUAUUUUAACGCCACGUUUUGGUGGCAUUCGUUGAAAUGAACGCAACUGUAAACCGUCACAGAUUAUAUAUAAUACAUUCACAGAUUAUAUAUACAUUAAAAAACGAGACAUUUACCACAAUAUUAUUAAAGAUCCCGAUAAUAUAUGAAAAGUAUAUAAUAAAAUACCGAGCGAUUUAAAAUAUAUGCUUUUUCAAAAGGCAAUUUCAAAACAAAUUUAAACAUUAUUUAUUGAAGUAAUGCUACUACUCGAUUAAUGAGACUUGAAAUGAAUGACAAAUCGAUGACAAUUUAAUAUUACCACAGAUAAGAUGAUAUUAGUACAUUACCAACAACAAUAUAAUAUAUGAUUAAUACUGUAGCUAGAUUUGGUAAUUAUUAUUAUUCAUCUAAACCAGAGGUUCCCAAACUUUGUGUCGUAGACCCCUUGCCAUAUUUUUCGGUUUUGGGUAGACCCCCAUUCUUACAUGGUAAUGAAUUUUUGUAAAUUUCUAACUGUAGUAAAUUUAGUGUUAAAAACAUAAAGUAAAAACAA
RNA transcript from Achroia grisella, 4590 nucleotides. It is a transcript of the gene named nidogen-like, with no coding region annotated. The transcript has 8 exons. NCBI's taxonomy places the organism in Eukaryota, Metazoa, Arthropoda, Insecta, Lepidoptera, Pyralidae. The record is from RefSeq and is a predicted model, not a curated record.